RNAcentral lists this ribosomal RNA (313 nucleotides) under uncultured Pelagophyceae. RNAcentral's name for it is "partial Bacterial large subunit ribosomal RNA". It matches the Rfam family "Bacterial large subunit ribosomal RNA", at positions 17 to 376 of the family's 2925-position model. Lineage: Eukaryota; Pelagophyceae. The record is from RNAcentral.
GCAAACGGUGGAUGCCUUGGCGGUAGGAGGCGACGAAGGACGUGGUUAGCUGCGAAAAGCUUCGGUGAGCUGCUAAGCAAGCUUUGAUCCGGAGAUGUCCGAAUGGGGAAACCCGGCGGGGGUCAUGCCUCGUCAUCCUUUACUGAAUACAUAGGUAAAGGAAGCCAACCUGGGGAACUGAAACAUCUCAGUACCCGGAGGAAAGGAAAUCAACCGAGACUCCCCUAGUAGCGGCGAGCGAACGGGGACCAGGCCUGGUCUGAAAUAAAGCAAAGCAUCUGGAAAGUUGCGCCAUAGUGGGUGAUAGCCCCGU